RNAcentral lists this ribosomal RNA (645 nucleotides) under uncultured Bacteroidales bacterium. RNAcentral's name for it is "bacterial SSU rRNA". It matches the Rfam family "Bacterial small subunit ribosomal RNA", at positions 69 to 710 of the family's 1533-position model. The record is from RNAcentral. Lineage: Bacteria; Pseudomonadati; Bacteroidota; Bacteroidia; Bacteroidales.
GUCUUAGCUUGCUAAGGCUGAUGGCGACCGGUGCACGGGUGAGUAACACGUAUCCAACCUGCCGUCUACUCUUGGCCAGCCUUCUGAAAGGAAGAUUAAUCCAGGAUGGCAUCAUGAGUACACAUGUCCGCAUGAUUAAAGGUAUUUUCCGGUAGACGAUGGGGAUGCGUUCCAUUAGAUAGUAGGCGGGGUAACGGCCCACCUAGUCAACGAUGGAUAGGGGUUCUGAGAGGAAGGUCCCCCACAUUGGAACUGAGACACGGUCCAAACUCCUACGGGAGGCAGCAGUGAGGAAUAUUGGUCAAUGGGCGAUGGCCGAACCAGCCAAGUAGCGUGAAGGAUGACUGCCCUAUGGGUUGUAAACUUCUUUUAUAAAGGAAUAAAGUCGGGUAUGCAUACCCGUUUGCAUGUACUUUAUGAAUAAGGAUCGGCUAACUCCGUGCCAGCAGCCGCGGUAAUACGGAGGAUCCGAGCGUUAUCCGGAUUUAUUGGGUUUAAAGGGAGCGUAGAUGGAUGUUUAAGUCAGUUGUGAAAGUUUGCGGCUCAACCGUAAAAUUGCAGUUGAUACUGGAUGUCUUGAGUGCAGUUGAGGCAGGCGGAAUUCGUGGUGUAGCGGUGAAAUGCUUAGAUAUCACGAAGAACUCC